UCAACUAAUGCUGGUUGUUCUGCUUGGACCUGCAGUUGUAAAAGUCGUCACCUCGCUGUCGUCAUGGAAAAGUGACCUCACUGAAAUCAGCAGCAAGAAAACAAAACGUUCAUCCAGAAGAGGUUGUGCAGAAGUUUGAACCCUGUCUGGAAUUGAUGGUUUAUGAUUUCAUGGAGCACCUCAGCAGCACAGUGAGUAACUCUCUUUCUGAACUGUAAGUACUGAGUGUGGAUUAAAACUAUUAUUUCACAUGUUAACAGUUCUUGUUAAGACUAACAGUUCCCACCUCCUUCUACCUUACCUGGAGUUUUCUCUAUCCUCAGAAGAGUGUUGGUUACGUAGGUCUCCUCAGCAUUACUCAGUUCACACGUGUAGAUCCCGUCUUGAUCUGAAGAUAAGUCUUUUAGCGUGAGGCUGCCUGACUCGGACACACUCUUCACCUGCUGCCUCCACUCCUCUGAGACUGUGUAGGGGACGUGGUCUCCGGUCUGGGUCAGGAUGAUCUGACUGUGGUUGAACCUCCAAACGAGGCCUGUUAGU
This is a long non-coding RNA of Etheostoma spectabile (orangethroat darter), 540 nucleotides long. RefSeq lists it as uncharacterized. NCBI's taxonomy places the organism in Eukaryota, Metazoa, Chordata, Actinopteri, Perciformes, Percidae. The transcript is spliced from 2 exons. The record is from RefSeq and is a predicted model, not a curated record.